This 358-nucleotide transfer RNA is filed under the name uncultured Microcystis sp. RNAcentral's name for it is "partial 16S-23S ribosomal RNA intergenic spacer". The stretch from base 133 to 206 matches the Rfam family "tRNA". Lineage: Bacteria; Bacillati; Cyanobacteriota; Cyanophyceae; Chroococcales; Microcystaceae. The record is from RNAcentral.
AAGGGAGACCUAAUUCCGGUAGGAGACGAAAAAAAAGUAGUCCCAACCAAGAAUCAAUCCCAAAAGGUCGGAACGAGGUAUGAGGCUUUCAAACUAGGUUCUGGGUUCAUAAAAGACCUGAAUCAGGAACAAGGGCUAUUAGCUCAGGUGGUUAGAGCGCACCCCUGAUAAGGGUGAAGUCCCCGGUUCGAGUCCAGGAUGGCCCACCUGCACAGGUGGCAAAAACAAGAGAAGCUCCGAAUCAGCACCUUAUCUUAUAUGCAUAUAUAAGAGAGAAUGCUGGCUCUGAGUAAAGAGUCCAGAGGAACCUUGAAAACUGCAUAGAGCUAGGUGAAAAAGCCAAAAAAGAAGACCGCAA